This 417-nucleotide ribosomal RNA is filed under the name uncultured bacterium. Its description in RNAcentral is "bacterial SSU rRNA". It matches the Rfam family "Bacterial small subunit ribosomal RNA", at positions 30 to 450 of the family's 1533-position model. The record is from RNAcentral.
AUUGAACGCUGGCGGUAUGCUUAACACAUGCAAGUCGAACGGUAGCAGGCCUUCGGGCGCUGACGAGUGGCGGACGGGUGAGUAAUGCAUAGGAAUCUGCCUAUUAGUGGGGGACAACGUGGGGAAACUCACGCUAAUACCGCAUACGCCCUACGGGGAAAGCUGGGGACCUUCGGGCCUGGCGCUAAUAGAUGAGCCUAUGUUGGAUUAGCUAGUUGGUAGGGUAAAGGCCUACCAAGGCGACGAUCCAUAGCUGGUCUGAGAGGAUGAUCAGCCACACUGGGACUGAGACACGGCCCAGACUCCUACGGGAGGCAGCAGUGGGGAAUAUUGGACAAUGGGCGAAAGCCUGAUCCAGCAAUACCGCGUGUGUGAAGAAGGCCUGAGGGUUGUAAAGCACUUUCAAUAGGAAGGAAU